AGUGAACGCUGGCGGUAGGCCUAACACAUGCAAGUCGAACGGCAGCACAGUAAGAGCUUGCUCUUACGGGUGGCGAGUGGCGGACGGGUGAGGAAUACAUCGGAAUCUACUUUUUCGUGGGGGAUAACGUAGGGAAACUUACGCUAAUACCGCAUACGACCUACGGGUGAAAGCAGGGGAUCUUCGGACCUUGCGCGAUUGAAUGAGCCGAUGUCGGAUUAGCUAGUUGGCGGGGUAAAGGCCCACCAAGGCGACGAUCCGUAGCUGGUCUGAGAGGAUGAUCAGCCACACUGGAACUGAGACACGGUCCAGACUCCUACGGGAGGCAGCAGUGGGGAAUAUUGGACAAUGGGCGCAAGCCUGAUCCAGCCAUACCGCGUGGGUGAAGAAGGCCUUCGGGUUGUAAAGCCCUUUUGUUGGGAAGAAAAGCAGCAGGUUAAUACCCCACUGUUCUGACGGUACCCAAAGAAUAAGCACCGGCUAACUUCGUG
RNAcentral lists this ribosomal RNA (491 nucleotides) under uncultured bacterium. Its description in RNAcentral is "partial 16S ribosomal RNA". It matches the Rfam family "Bacterial small subunit ribosomal RNA", at positions 29 to 507 of the family's 1533-position model. The record is from RNAcentral.